AUGCAACGACUCGGUUUCUCGCUGCGGUGGAGAGAUUGGGUGGCGCUGCUCCUCUCCUCGGCUUCCUCAACCUGUCUCCUCAAUAGCGCGGAGGGAGCCAUCAUCCAGCACCAGCGUGGCUUACGGCAAGGCGACCCGCUGUCCCCUCUCCUCUUUAUCCUCGCGAUAGAUCCUCUUCACCGCCUGAUCGCCGCGGACAUGCGAGCCGGCGCCCUCGCCCCGCUCCCAACGGGUGUGGUGGGGCUGCGGGUCAGCUUAUAUGCGGAUGACGCUGUCGUUUUCUUCAACCCAAGUAGACAGGAUGUGGAUGGGCUCAUGGAGCUGUUGUAG
This 330-nucleotide ribosomal RNA is filed under the name Triticum aestivum (bread wheat). RNAcentral describes it as "partial small subunit ribosomal RNA". The record is from RNAcentral. Lineage: Eukaryota; Viridiplantae; Streptophyta; Magnoliopsida; Poales; Poaceae.